Molecule: long non-coding RNA, 1711 nt
Organism: Carassius gibelio (silver crucian carp)
Lineage: Eukaryota; Metazoa; Chordata; Actinopteri; Cypriniformes; Cyprinidae
Exons: 2
Source: RefSeq, a predicted model, not a curated record
CACAUCUGAAGGCCAAUAUUCCAUUAUAAUGAUAGCGCCACCUGCUGGCAACGGUAAGAUUGGCACAUAUAUGGGAUAUACUUUGAUAUAUUCCACUUAUAUUUAGGACAUUAAAUGCAUAUUUCUCAACGUUCACCUUUUUACUAAAGCCACACGAUGGCGGUGAGCCCGGGUGCGAGGGCCCGUUCAUCGCUGCUUGCAGCUUUAAUUAGGGCUCAAGCCCAAAGGGCGAGAGGCCUAUUGUUUUCCUUAGGAUUAUUUUUAGGGCUCAAGCCCAAAGGGCGAGAGGCCUAUUGUUUUCCUUAGGAUUAUUUUUUAUUAUUAUUAUUAUUUUUUUUUUUUUUUCCAACGUCUCGGGGGCUUUUGGGGCCCUUAACGUGCUUAAAAAGUCUUGAAAAUUGGCACACAGAUUGGAACCUGCGGCCAUUAGGGCCGGGCAGAGACUGAUACACGGGCGUGGCACAGGGGCUCUACAGCGCCCCCUGGAAUAUGGAGGGCCAUAUAUCAUACAUUCUUGCUCGUAGACGAAUGAAACUCGGUACACAUAUAAAUCUCAUCAAUCCAAACAACUUUUGUAUUGCAUAUCAUAGGCUCCGCCCAACAGGAAGUUGGCUAUUUAGGGUUUAGUAUUCAAAUUUUUCGUCAAAGUUGUGGGGGCUUUUGGGGUCCUUAACAUACUCAAAAACUCUUGAAAAUUUGCGCACACUUUGGAAUCUGUGGCCUUUAGGAGCCUGCAGAGGCUGGGACCCGGGCGUGGCACAGGGGCUCUACGGCGCCCCCUGGAACACAGUCAGAAAUGUUGAUGUAUAGCUCACACAUACUUGCACAUAUUCAUAUGAAACUAGGUACACAUAUAGAUCUCAUCGUGCCGAACAACUUUCGUAUUGCAUGUCAUAGGCUCCACCCAACAGGAAGUCAGCUAUUUAGAGUUAUGUAAAAAGCGCAUGCUCUGGAAUUUGAAAUACUUGUCAUAGGUUUUUUGCUCGAUUGCCGCCAAACUCGGUCAACAUGAUCUCAAGACACUGGGGAUGAAAAAUUGCCAGGGGAUUUUUGAUAUCUCGAACGGUUUGCUCGUGGCGAGGCGUUGAAAUUAUGGCGAGAAAUGAGAAACAGGAAGUGUCUAAUACCGUCCACAUACAUUUCCUGAUUUUAAUCAAACUUCAUCAGAUUAUUCUUUGUAUGAUGUCGAUCGCAUAUAUGUGACUAUUAGGAGUCAAAGUUAUAGCGCCACCAACUGGCAGAAGGAAGUGUGUCAUUUUCAAAAUGAUUUGAAUUCAGCAUCUUAUUAUUACUCGAUUUGCUUCAAACUUCAUCAGAAUAAUGUUAAAACACAGCCGAUAUAAAUCUGCAAGGGGGAUAUUGAUAUCUAAAAAAUUGUUGGCGUGGCAACAUGUCAAACUGGAAUACUUCUCAGGUGAUUUUGAGGCAAAUAACAUACUUAGAAUUUCACAAAACUCUGAACACACAUCAGUAUUUCUGAUAGGAACUUAAAUUGUGAAUGGAUUUUGGAUAGCUUGAAUGGUUUUGCCGUGGUGAUUUUUUAAAAUGACAAUAAAGAUGGAAUUAUUAAUUUUCCUGCAUUUUUAAAUUCCAAACACUUCAAAACCUUUUUUCAUACAGAAAAAAAGUUAUUCUGAGUAAAUAUGCAUAGUUUCAUGACUUUACAACACUGUAUGGAUAACAGAAAAUUAAAAAACUGUCAGACAUCUCA